GGUCAAUUGAGGGGGGGGGUGCAGAAUUUCGGAGCGGUUUCCGGUGUUGAUUUUGGGGCAAAAAGUGGGGAAUGUGGGGAAGAAUGGGGUCCAGUUGCCUAGCAACGGGUGGGAGGGAAACGCGAGGCCGUCUCCAUGGCUCCACCGGAAACGAAGACGGUGUAACCGAAGUCGGAUGGUCGAACCGCGGGGACGGUCGCGCGGCAAUAGCGGCCCGCUCCGACCGGAACCCGGAAGAGAAACACCGGAAGUCGGACAAACCAGAAGUAAGGGGCCGGAAGUGGGCGGUGCCUCCCUCCCAUUGGCCCGCGGAGGCGGAAGCGGGCGCGGCGGUGCGCGCGCAUCUCCAAGGCAACGGCCGGGGGCUCUCGGCCGCCGUCGGAGCCCCGGGCGUCGCCAUGGAAACGCGGCCCAUAGCGACGGGGCCCCCGCGGCCCCCGCCCCGCCCCAAGAUGGCCGCCGCAGGGCGGGGGCGGCGCUGUGCAGGCGCGGGGGGCGGCGGCUCGGGGGCGGCGGAGGGCGACGGGAGGCCGCCGGAGGUCAGUGCGGGGCCGGCGGGGGUCGCGGCGACGUCACGUGACGGCGGGGGGCGACGUCCGCCGGUUUGGGGGCGGUUGACCCCCAUUUGGGGUCGACGGAGGCCGACUUGGGGUCAGUGGGGGUCAGCGUGGGGUCACGUGGGGAUGGGGGGUCGACGUCUGGCAGCGUGGGGUCAGCGUUGGCCAAUCAGGAGGCAGAACACAGCCGGGGGUCGGCGGCGGCCAUCUUGGGGUCAAAGGGCACCGCUGUGGGGUCGCUGUCGGCCAAUGAAGGCCCAGCAGCCUCCAAGGUGGGACCGGAAGUGGGCGCGGCGGCCAUCUUGGUGCCUGAGCCAGCCAAUGGGAGCGCUGCGGGGUCAACUUCCGCCAUCUCGCGGGCGAAGUCAACCAAUGAGAGUGCUGAGAAGUCGGCGUCGGCCAUCUUGGUGCGUGAAUCAGCCAAUGGGAGCGCGGCGAGGUCGACGUUGGCCAUCUUGUUGGCAAGGUCAGCCAAUGAGAGCGCAGCGAGGUCAACGCCCACCAGUUUGGGGUCAAAGGUGACGACCACCACCCCAAUGACGGCCAGCUUGGAUCCGACAUCCGCCAUCUUAGGGUCAAAGGUCAUGACAUCUACUCCAACGUCGGCCAUCUUGGGGUCAAAGGUGACGACCCCCAACCGCCCAUCAGCCAUCUUGGAUCCAACGUCAGCCAUCUUGGGGUCAAAGGUGACGACCCCACCCCCAACAUCCGCCAUUUUGGACUCCGAGACCCCCACCCCAACAUCAACCACUGUAGGGUCAAAGGUGACGACCCCUACCCCCCCCUCGGCCAUCUUGGGGUCAAAGGUGAUGACUCCCACCCCCCCAUCGGCCAUCUUGGACUCCGAAACCCCAACGUCGGCCAUCUUGGGGUCAAAGGAGACGACCCCCACCCCCCCGUCGGCCAUCUUGGACUCCGAGACCCCAACGUCAGCCAUCUUGGGGUCAACAGAGACGACCCCCACCCCAACGUCGGCCAUCUUGGAUCCAACAUCGGCCAUCUUGAACUCCGAGACCUCCACCCCAACAUCGAUGACUUUGGGGUCAAUGGAGACGAUCCCCACCCCAACGUUGGCCAUCUUGCACUCUGAGACCCCACCGUUGGCCAUCUUGGCCCCAACCCUGUCAGCCAUCUUGGCCCCAACUACCCCCACCCGACCGUCAGCCAUCUUGGAUCCAGUCCCAUCCACUCCAACAUCCGCCAUCUUGGACUCAGUGACCCCCACCCCAUCAACAACCACUGUGGGGUCAACAGAGAUGACCCCCACCCCAACAUCGAUGACUUCGGGGUCAAAGGUCAUGACCCCCACCCCCCCGUCAGCCAUCUUGGACUCCGAGACCCCAACGUCCGCCAUCUUGGGGCCAAAGGAGACGACCCCCACCCCAAUGUUGGCCAUCUUGGACUCCAAGACCCCAACGUCGGCCAUCUUGGGGUCAACAGAGACGACCCCCACCCCGAUGUCGGCCAUCUUGGACUCUGAGACCCCAACAUCGGCCAUCUUGGGGUCAAAGGAGACGACCCCCACCCCAACGUCGGCCAUCUUGGACUCCGAGACCCCCACCCCAACAUCGACGACUUUGGGGUCAAAGGAGACGACCCCCACCCUGAUGUCGGCCAUCUUGGACUCUGAGACCACAACGUCGGCCAUCUUGAGGUCAACAGAGACAACCCC
Molecule: long non-coding RNA, 2229 nt
Filed under: Gallus gallus (chicken)
Lineage: Eukaryota; Metazoa; Chordata; Aves; Galliformes; Phasianidae
Source: RNAcentral